UUCGGGGCAGAGAGACAGGUGGUGCAUGGUUGUCGUCAGCUCGUGUCGUGAGAUGUUGGGUUAAGUCCCGCAACGAGCGCAACCCUUAUCAUUAGUUGCCAGCACGUAAGGUGGGAACUCUAAUGAGACUGCCGGGGAUAACUCGGAGGAAGGUGGGGACGACGUCAAAUCAUCAUGCCCCUUAUGUCUUGGGCUACACACGUGCUACAAUGGCCGGUACAAAGGGCUGCGAAGCCGUAAGGUGGAGCGAAUCCCAUAAAGCCGGUCUCAGUUCGGAUCGUGGGCUGCAACCCGCCCACGUGAAGCCGGAGUUGCUAGUAAUCGCGAAUCAGCAUGUCGCGGUGAAUGCGUUCCCGGGUCUUGUACACACCGCCCGUCACACCAUGGGAGUUGGGAGCGCCCGAAGCCAGUGAGCUAACCAGAAUGGAGGCAGCUGUCGAAGGUGAGACCAAUGACUGGGGUGAAGUCGUAACAAGGUAGCCGUAUCGGAAGGUGCGGCUGGAUCACCUCCUUUAUG
Molecule: ribosomal RNA, 517 nt
Filed under: uncultured Lachnospiraceae bacterium
Lineage: Bacteria; Bacillati; Bacillota; Clostridia; Lachnospirales; Lachnospiraceae
Description: bacterial SSU rRNA
Rfam family: Bacterial small subunit ribosomal RNA
Source: RNAcentral